GGCGGAAAAACUGCAUAAAAACAGAUAGAUUUAGCGGAAUCACAAUCCGCGUGUCGGGGGUUCAAGUCCCUCCUCCGCUACCA
Molecule: transfer RNA, 83 nt
Filed under: Sphingomonadales bacterium
Lineage: Bacteria; Pseudomonadati; Pseudomonadota; Alphaproteobacteria; Sphingomonadales
Description: tRNA-Val
Source: RNAcentral